AUGUUAAUAAACCAAUUUAAUUCGCGAACGGAAUUGGGAAAAUUAGGGCACUCCAUAAAACCCUAGCUAACAAAACCCCCGUACUCGUCACUGUUGGUUGGUUGAAGUUCUACAUUCGUUGAAUCUUCGGUGAAAAUGAGUCGGCAAAUGGAAGAAGAUGCUCCGGU
Molecule: long non-coding RNA, 167 nt
Organism: Salvia miltiorrhiza (redroot sage)
Lineage: Eukaryota; Viridiplantae; Streptophyta; Magnoliopsida; Lamiales; Lamiaceae
Exons: 3
Source: RefSeq, a predicted model, not a curated record